Talpa occidentalis (Iberian mole) is the source of this 775-nucleotide long non-coding RNA. RefSeq lists it as uncharacterized. The record is from RefSeq and is a predicted model, not a curated record. Lineage: Eukaryota; Metazoa; Chordata; Mammalia; Eulipotyphla; Talpidae. The transcript has 3 exons.
CCUGCUCCCCUCCCCCCUCCACCUUUAUUCGCACAAAUGAAUGUGGCUGGGCUGGCGCAGAGCCUGGCCCUGCAUCUUAAUGGGGCGGUGAGCUCACAAGAUGGAUUUAGCUGGGGGUUUUAUGGUUGCCGCGGCGACAGAAUGCUUUGGUUUUCUUUCCCCCUUCCUCUGCAGGAUUCUGAGGAGGGGCAAGUGUGGGGAGCCCUCCUCUGCACGGCCAUGGGCAGGGGGGCCUCGGCCACCUCUACUGCUCGUGAGAUGGGCCUGCGAUGGCAGGAUUAAGCAAGGGAGACCGCAGCAGGGCCUCAGAUGGGGAAGGUCGGGCAAGGAAGGGCAAGGAGUCCUUCCUGACCAUUCUCUUUGCAAAGUUCAAGGAGCAGAGAUCUGGACUUACGGGAGUGGCUCUGAAGGCUGGAUCGCAAAGAUUUUAAGAUGAGAAGACAGAGAAAGUCAAAGUGGACCCAGCCCAAAGCGACUCACCUGUCUCCCAAGUUCAAUUCUCUCUCCAGUGGAAGAAGUCCAGUUCACUGAAAGAACAGUCCUGGGCACUGAAGCUCCCGGCCGGAGGUACCCUGCUCUCCUGUCUCCUAUUAUACUAGCCUGAAAGAACAGAAAACUCCUGAGUUACCCAAUCGCAGCCACUUCCUCCCUUACCUCCUGAACUACUCAUUGAGCUCUGACUGGUGAAAGACUUACCCCAAAGUCAUCUCACUUCUUGCUGAGGCCCAAGUUCCAUUUCCUUCCGCUCUUUUUGUCAAGAAUUGUCAGGAGGGCC